RNAcentral lists this ribosomal RNA (390 nucleotides) under uncultured bacterium. RNAcentral describes it as "bacterial SSU rRNA". It matches the Rfam family "Bacterial small subunit ribosomal RNA", at positions 30 to 406 of the family's 1533-position model. The record is from RNAcentral.
AGUGAACGCUGGCGGCAGGACUAACACAUGCAAGUCGAGCGGCAGCGCGUCCGACCACCCUCGGGUGGUCGGAUGGCGGCGAGCGGCGGACGGGUGAGGAAUGCAUCGGAAUCUGCCUCGUUGUGGGGGAUAACGUAGGGAAACUUGCGCUAAUACCGCAUACGACCUACGGGUGAAAGUGGGGGACCUUCGGGCCUCACGCGAUGAGAUGAGCCGAUGCCGGAUUAGCUAGUUGGCGGGGUAAAGGCCCACCAAGGCGACGAUCCGUAGCUGGUCUGAGAGGAUGAUCAGCCACACUGGAACUGAGACACGGUCCAGACUCCUACGGGAGGCAGCAGUGGGGAAUAUUGGACAAUGGGGGCAACCCUGAUCCAGCCAUGCCGCGUGUGU